Molecule: ribosomal RNA, 230 nt
Filed under: uncultured bacterium
Lineage: Bacteria
Description: partial 16S ribosomal RNA
Rfam family: Bacterial small subunit ribosomal RNA
Source: RNAcentral
AAAGCGUGCGCAGGCGGUUUUGUAAGUCUGUUGUGAAAUCCCCGGGCUCAACCUGGGAAUGGCAAUGGAGACUGCAAGGCUAGAGUUUGGCAGAGGGGGGUAGAAUUCCACGUGUAGCAGUGAAAUGCGUAGAUAUGUGGAGGAACACCGAUGGCGAAGGCAGCCCCCUGGGUCAAAACUGACGCUCAUGCACGAAAGCGUGGGGAGCAAACAGGAUUAGAUACCCGUGU